AUGGAAUGCAUGUGGGGAGAUCUCGGCCUCCUCGAAGACCCACGGGCUGGAGCUAAAAAAAGUACAAAAGAGAGAGAAAAAAGGUCAACUAGAGUAAACUACAAAAGGUAAGCGACUAAGAGGCCAAAACAAAGAAACUCACCGGUUAAGGAGGGAGCAGGCCCAAACUUCUUGAAAAAGCCCGGCCACUCACGAAUUCCCGUGAUGUGAGGGAGGAGUCGGCCGACCCAAUCAGAAAUAUCCCCGACCAAAUGAUAGGGCGUAGUCUUGGCUGCAUAAGAAAGGAGAAAGAGAUCAGAACCCACGACUAAGCGAAGUAAAUCAAAUGCCUCACCGAAGAGAAGUUAGACGCUUACGAGUAUAAUUCCAAGUUUCAGGGAAGCCAUCUGCGUUGGCCACCACGUCCUUGGUUCUAACGAAGAAAACAUUGUGCUAGAACUAACGGUUAGCCUUAUCAUCCAUCUUCACCACCAGGCACUUGCCCCCUCGGUGGCGAAGGUUUAACAUCGCCCCCUAUAGAAACUAGGGGCGAAGAGAUGUAUCAAAUGACCGAAGUGUGAUCUCAACCCUAGCCAAUUCCGAAAACUUAGUCAACAUCCUUAUGAGCUUAUGGAUAUACGGUGCGAGUUGAGCCGGGCAAACGCCAUAGAAACGGCAAAACUCUUCGGCCAGUAGAAAAAGGGAAAGAGUGUAGCCGACAUGAAAGGGGUAAGCGUAGAACGCAUAGUACCCGGGGCGGUGGACUUGUACCAUAUCCCGCCCGGCAGGGACCAACUCGAUGCGCGCGGGAAUGCUGAAUUUUGCCCUUAGCUCUUAUAAAUAGGCCUCCUUCAUCGCCGACUCGGAGAUUUCGAGAUCAACUUCAAGCGACUUUGUAAAAUCAGACCUGACUUUCUCACUACGAGGAACUAUCUCCUCCACCAUAGCAAAGUUCUCGUCCUCAACGACAAUGGAGACGCCAUUCGCGUGAGAAGGGAAAGCCAUUCUCGUAUUCAUUUAGACUUAUUAUGCGCCGCUACCACAUUCACUUCAAGAACUGAGCAAAUCAAGUGGGGCAAUAUUCAUGCCUUUUUCAUGAAAAAUAUAUUAUUUUUCUUUAGUUAUCAUUAUAUCAUCAAUAUUGUGUAGUGGGACUCAAACCCAAUAUCUUACCAAUAUAAAGGCAUGUUAGGCCAUAAUGAAUUAGGACUCAAACCCAACUCUUAUCAUCAUGGAGCAUCAAGACUUGAUCCUGAUGUCUUACCCUCAUGGUGCAUAGCGACUUGAACUCAUUGAAGUUGAUAUCAUUAAUAGCAAAGGAUAAAAAUAAUUUCAAAUACGAAGAAAAUGCUUACCUCUUGAGUUAAACUCUUCAUAAUAUCAUUUGGAUAUAAUUCUCAACAAUAGACUUUCGUUUACUCAAAUCAGCUAAGUAAUUAGUGUCAAACAGAUAUAUGAAAAUACAAAAUAAUAUUAAAAAUUCACAUGUGGUCUUUGCUGUAAUAAGCUUACUUCAAGAUGAAAGUAAUAUGACCAGAACAUUAAAGAAAAAUGAUGUAUCAAAUAGAAUAAUAUAAUACUACUAGUUACCAUGCACUUUUAUGAAAACUAAGUAUUAUGCUCUAGAAAAAUAAGAGAUAUAGCAGAACCUUUAGGUUAAUCAGAAAAUAAAAAAAAAUUAGGGGACAAAUCUCUGUCUACUAUCUACUACUAUUAUGCUUUCCAUAUAGAAAUAGAUUCAACAUGUUAAUUUGAUAAGAACUAUCAUCAAUGAAAAAUUUGGUGUAGUACAUANNNNNNNNNNNNNNNNNNNNNNNNNAAAGUAUAAUUUUUAUUUUGUAGAAUUAUUUAAGUAUACCGCAUGUCACCUAUUAUUUAGUUCAUGAAAAUUUAAUAAGGUGGCAUCCUUAGCAGCCACAUAAAUACUAAUUUUUUAAUAACCAGACCAUUGCUUAUUCCAAAAUAUUGGUAUAAACUUAUAUGGUUUAAAGCUCGAACUUGUUGCUGUAGCAGAAAGACGUGCAUGUAACACAGAAGUGGAGUUCAACCUUGAGGUUAGAGACUUCGUGCUCAUAAUUGUGUGAUGAAAUAUAGCUCAAAGUAACAAUAUAGAACAAGAAAAAUCAAGCUAAGAGAUAUCGAGAGAUGAUAGAUUUUUAUUUCUUCUUCAAUUGUAUGUAUUUUUCUAUCUAUUACAAAGCCUUUAUAUAGACAUGAAAAGUGAAGAAAAAUAUGUCAUUGAAUAUAUUAUUAAACAUUUGAGAAGAUAAUGGAGAAAGAGUAGACAUCCACCAUAAUUUAAUUUUUCUUAUAACAAAUAAGUGUUUAUAUGGGAGUAAUGAUUUCUAAGUAUAAUUUGUUCUAUGAACCACCCAACUUUCUAGUUCUAAAGAUAUUUCCAUCAUCUUGACUACAAAAACGAAAGCAAAGACGUAAGCUGGCUGCUGAGGCGAAAUAAUAUAUGUUUAACUUGACAAUGAACUUUGAAUUAAUCUAAUUGAUUAAUAGGUUAUUCGUUUUCUGUCUGCCCAAAUGGCGUCACUGCAAAGAUCAGCUUCUUUAGUUUUUGUAAUAAUACUCAAUAGUCAUACCUCCAAACAAGGCUUAAACAUUGUCUUGAAGUUAUGAAUGGGAAGUUGUAUAAUUAGGGAGUGGUGUUAGUUGGGGAAGAAAACUAGCAAAAUGGGUGGUUGUGCGGCGUCAAAAAGCAGUUUAUGACAGAGAUGAAACUAGUAAUUUCAGAAACAUUAUUUAAGAUUUAAUAUAUAUAUAUAUAUGAAAAUAACAAUUGACCUAUAAAUAUAGUACUCCAUCCGUUUCAAUUUAUGUGAACCUAUUUCUUUUUUGGUCCGUUUAAAAAGGAAUGACCCAUUUCUAAAUUUGGAAAUAAUUUAGCUUAAACUUACAAUUCUACCCUUAAUGAGAAGCUUUUAUAACCACACAAAUACUUUGGGUCCCUUUUUGACUUGUUUAAGACCACAAAUUCUAAAAGUAUUUUUUUAUUUAUACUCCGUACCCAAUCAAACAAAUUCACAUCAAUUAAAACGGAAGGAAUACAAUUUUUCGAUAAAAGUGUUCAACUUAAACCACCCUUCAAUAGGGCUGUGCAUAAUUUGGUAAAUACCGAAUUACCGUACCGAAAUCGAAAAUUUUCGUAUUCGGUAUUCGGUAUGGUAUUUGGUUUAAGUUUUUAAAAAGAAUUGGUAUUAGGUAUGGUAUUUGGUAUUUUAAAAUGAAAUAUCGAAAUACCGAUAUCGUAUCGAAAUAUAUAUAUUAUAUUACACAAUACACAUUUUAUUAAUUAUAACAUAAGUAUAAGAAAUCUAAAAUUUUACUUUCCUUUAUUCUUUAAGUUCAUCAAUUAAUUCUAAGCAAUCAACACGACAUUUCUCUAAGGUUUCUCUCUUUAGGUUGGUAUAUGCUAGUUUUGGACAAAACUUAUGUCAACAAAUAUUUUAAGGUUCGUACUUUUGAGUACUUUAAUUAAGAAUAUUGCUGUCUAUGACUCUAUACACUAGUUAGUAUUCAAAUCGAAUAAAUCGAAGUUACCAAACCGAAUAAACCUAAACCGAAAGGAAAAAAAUCGAACUAUAUCGAAUUUAAUUAGGUACGGUAUUGAUAUAGUAUUUUACGAAACCAAAUAUCAAAAAUACUGAAUCGAAAUAUUUAAAUACCGUACCGGACCGACCGACGAACACCCCUACCCUUCAACGAGUUUAGCUCCGGCCUCCGCCCCUAUGACACACUAACUUUAACGCGUCGUGCAUACCUUAAGUUGGCUAGCUAUAAGGAAUAUAAUAAAGAUUGUCGCGCCCGAGAAAGGAUGUGGCACGAGUUGAUACAACCAGAAGGGCCAAAAAUAUUAAGCUGAGGGCUAACGCAUCAAGCAGAAAAGGAAUUAUACCACCCCGUGGUAAGUUCUGAGCAUUGGGAAUAAACCAUACAAAAAUAAUAUUCACCGUAAUAAAAUCAGAAUAAUAAUAUAGUAUCGAGAUACGAUAAUUAACAAAAAUAAAAGAGUGAUAACAAUACCAAAAUUUUUAUGUGGAAAACUCUUUUGAAUAAGAGAAAAAACCACGACCCUAAGAUAAACAACUGAUAUCACUAUAGUAAGUAAUUUUACACUUUGUAUGUCCGAAUAAAAUACUCCAAAGACCACUACAAUACUCAAAAAAAAUAACUCUCUUUUGAUAUUCUCACAUCACUACAAUAUCGUUCACUCUUUAUUUUUCUCACAGAUAUUUUCUUAUACACUGUUUGUGAAACCUUACUCUUUCUUUUUAACUGUCAAAUAUAUUUUUCCUAUGAGAUAUAUAUAAAUUGAGAUUGAUAUAUAGAGUGGACUUUGAUGACGGACCCAAUUAACCAAGAGAUUGAAUCUCACUUUACAAAUUGCACAUUAUGAAUCGGUUGCCCACACUUGCUCUUGCCAUCGUUAGAUUUCUUUUUCUUUCUUUUUUUCUAUUAAUUAAUGGGUGUGGACCCCAUCAAAUAACUGUGCAAACUUGUAUGGGCCAAAUUGAGAUUCUAUAUGUUUUAAUCCCAUAGUUAUAAAAGCUAGACAGUAAUUCAUCUUAUGUUUGUCUCAACACCAAAGAGCCAAGAAAUCUUUGUGGAGGAGAAUUAAAGCCAACCCAAGGUUCUAUUACAUAUAUUGGUCAAAAUUUCUUUUCCUUGGGCAUGGACAUGCACUAUCACUUUUAAGAAUGUCCCAGAUGCAAAAAUGUGAAGAUUUCAAUUGCCACAGGGGCAGAGAUUAAUGAGCAAUACAAUAUACACAUACUCCAGGAAUACUGUAAAAUAAUUUUCUUUAAAUGAAAUGAAAAAUGAUACAUGCAGAAAUUGUUGGGAAUAAACCCCCUACUGAAAUAAUAUUCACAGUAAUAAAAGCGGAAUAAUAACGUAGCACCGAGAUACGGUAAUUAACAAGAAUAAAAGAGUGACAACGACACCAAGAUUUUAACGUGAAAAACCCUUUUGAAUAGGGAAAAAACCACGGCCCCGAGACGAGCAACGAUAUCACUAUAGAAAGGAAUUUUACACUUUGUAGGUCCGAGUAAAAUACUUCAAAGACUACUACAACACUCAAAAGAAAUAAUACUCUUUUGAUAUACCCACCUCACUACAAUAUCGCUCACUCUCUAUUUUUCUCACAGACUAUUUUCUUAUACCUUGUGUGUGAAACCUCACUCUUUCUUCCUCUCUUUGUUGGUGUGUAGAAAUGGGAGUUGAAACUCUCCUUUUAUAGCCAAAACCUCACUCUCUAAAGCCUACUAUAUUUGACAAUUUGAACACACUUUUCCUUUUAUUUCUUCAAUGUUGACAAUUCAACAAAAUUGGCUACCAACCCAAAAAAAUUCAAUAAAGUUGGCUACCAAACCAAAAAAAUUUAACAAAGUUGGCUACCAAACCAAAAUAAUUUAAUAAAGUCGGCUACCAAACCAAAAAAAUUUUCCUUAGUCACAUGCCUAUUACUUUGACUAUUGAAUGAGAUAGAACCCAUCAGACAUACACGAGGACAAGAUACUCCUAGUCAAUCACCUACCUUUUUUUUUUUGAUUAUGGAAAAUUCACAACUAGGUUCGAUGAAUCUAAUUCCUUGAUUCAAAUUGGUCAUCUUCGUCUAAUUAUUUUAACAUCCGGAUGCAAUUAUGGAGGGGACUUGUCGGCCUCCAACCUAAGUAAUGAAAAACAAAAUUAUUGGAGAUUGAAAUAUUCACAUGAAAAAGAAACAUGUAUCUUGCAGAUUUUGAUUCUUUUACCACAGUUAAAUUAUUUGCAUGUAUUCUCGCUUUAAUUUAAAUGUAAAUACGGGUGCUAGUAAAAAGAUUUCGUCAAUAAGCCCGUCUAACUCAAGUUUGACAUUUAUAAUAGUGGCAUUUUGAUUUCACUGUUAUUUAAUUUUUAUAAUGUGUUCAGCGGAUAAUGAAAAACUCAAUCUAGUACUAGUGGAUAAUAUUUUAUUUAGAGGUAUUAAACCCAUAAAAUAUCCUAUAUUGAACUCUGCACGUUAUUUCCACGAUACCUCCAUAGAAUAUGUAUUUCUAGUUGACCAAUUUGAAGCCAAGAUUUGUCGUUGGUUAGGUUUUUGAUCAUAUAAAAUCCCCCUUGAAGUUGAAGGCUUCUUAGUUAGUAUCAAAACAAAAUGGCAAGUUUAGUAGGAGGGGGAGACAGAUACAUAGUAGGAGGGGGAGACAGAUACAGAGACUACUUGAGUGAAGAAGAGGUGAAAAACACAAAAUGGAGAAAUGGUCCUCCUACCUAUGAUGUUGUUGAUAAGCUCUUUGAAGAAGAAAGAACUCAUGUAUGUUCUCUUUUUCAACCCCCCCACUUUUUAAUACAUCUUAGAAACUCUUUUGAUUGAUUCUAAGAAUGUCUCGAUAUUUAAGAUGAUAUAACUAGUAAAUAUGUUCUUCCUCGUGUACUUUACAUUUACUAUUGUACAAGUAGCUACUGAAUUUGUUAUGAACUUUGUCAUCUGACGUUUAUGUAAUAGUGUGAUUGAUACAUGUGUUACUUAUUUAUUUUCGUUUUUUUUUUCAGUAAAGAGUGAAAUACCAUGUUUAAAGAAAAUAAAAUCAUUCAUUAGUACCCAAAUUUAGAAGUUUAACAUUAUAAUAGAAACUGGAUUUAUUUACCUCUUAACUUGUUAGGUAUGGCCUGAAGGAUCACUUGAAGAGAAAGUGCAGAGGCUGU
RNAcentral lists this long non-coding RNA (6675 nucleotides) under Nicotiana tabacum (common tobacco). RNAcentral's name for it is "long non-coding RNA (NTAB_LNC010449)". Lineage: Eukaryota; Viridiplantae; Streptophyta; Magnoliopsida; Solanales; Solanaceae. The record is from RNAcentral.